GCGGAGUUUGACAUUUGCGCUUGGGGGGGGAAAACCUUUUUUACUGACGUCAGUACACAGUCCCAACUAUUGCGUGGUGGGCUGCUACGGAUACAGUAGCACUAAAGCCAGCGCUCACCGCACUGAGUAUGACUUUUCCACAUACGAACACAACUCGUCCGGUCGUGCACGCCUCAUGCCCGCCGUACAC
Molecule: long non-coding RNA, 190 nt
Organism: Notothenia coriiceps (black rockcod)
Lineage: Eukaryota; Metazoa; Chordata; Actinopteri; Perciformes; Nototheniidae
Exons: 3
Source: RefSeq, a predicted model, not a curated record